GCCAGCAGCCGCGGUAAUUCCAGCUCCAAUAGCGUAUAUUUAAGUUGUUGCAGUUAAAAAGCUCGUAGUUGGAUUUCGGAUGGGUUGCUGCGGUCCGCCUCUGGUGAGUACUGCUGUGGCCUAUCUUUCUGCCGGGGACGGGCUCCUGGGCUUCACUGUCCGGGACUCGGAGUCGGCGAUGUUACUUUGAGUAAAUUARAGUGUUCAAAGCAGGCCUACGCUCUGAAUACUUUAGCAUGGAAUAACACGAUAGGACUCUGGCCUAUCUUGUUGGUCUGUAGGACCGGAGUAAUGAUUAAGAGGGACAGUCGGGGGCAUUCGUAUUUCAUUGUCAGAGGUGAAAUUCUUGGAUUUAUGAAAGACGAACUACUGCGAAAGCAUUUGCCAAGGAUGUUUUCAUUAAUCAAGAACGAAAGUUGGGGGCUCGAAGACGAUUAGAUACCGUCGUAGUCUCAACCAUAAACGAUGCCGACUAGGGAUUGGCGG
RNAcentral lists this ribosomal RNA (486 nucleotides) under Bracteacoccus bullatus. Its description in RNAcentral is "SSU rRNA". The record is from RNAcentral. Lineage: Eukaryota; Viridiplantae; Chlorophyta; Chlorophyceae; Sphaeropleales; Bracteacoccaceae.